RNAcentral lists this ribosomal RNA (466 nucleotides) under uncultured bacterium. Its description in RNAcentral is "partial 16S ribosomal RNA". It matches the Rfam family "Bacterial small subunit ribosomal RNA", at positions 28 to 507 of the family's 1533-position model. The record is from RNAcentral.
GAUGAACGCUGGCGGCGUGCUUAACACAUGCAAGUCGAACGAUGAAGCCCAGCUUGCUGGGUGGAUUAGUGGCGAACGGGUGAGUAACACGUGAGUAACCUGCCCUUAACUCUGGGAUAAGCCUGGGAAACUGGGUCUAAUACCGGAUAGGAGCGCCUACCGCAUGGUGGGUGUUGGAAAGAUUUAUCGGUUUUGGAUGGACUCGCGGCCUAUCAGCUUGUUGGUGAGGUAAUGGCUCACCAAGGCGACGACGGGUAGCCGGCCUGAGAGGGUGACCGGCCACACUGGGACUGAGAAACGGCCCAGACUCCUACGGGAGGCAGCAGUGGGGAAUAUUGCACAAUGGGCGAAAGCCUGAUGCAGCGACGCCGCGUGAGGGAUGACGGCCUUCGGGUUGUAAACCUCUUUCAGUAGGGAAGAAGCGAAAGUGACGGUACCUGCAGAAGAAGCACCGGCUAACUACGUG